This 496-nucleotide ribosomal RNA is filed under the name uncultured bacterium. Its description in RNAcentral is "partial 16S ribosomal RNA". It matches the Rfam family "Bacterial small subunit ribosomal RNA", at positions 28 to 507 of the family's 1533-position model. The record is from RNAcentral.
GAUGAACGCUGGCGGCGUGCCUAAUACAUGCAAGUCGAGCGAACAGACGAGGAGCUUGCUCCUCUGACGUUAGCGGCGGACGGGUGAGUAACACGUGGAUAACCUACCUAUAAGACUGGGAUAACUUCGGGAACCGGAGCUAAUACCGGAUAAUAUAUUUAACCGCAUGGGUCAAUAGUGAAAGACGGUUUUGCUGUCACUUAUAGAUGGAUCCGCGCCGCAUUAGCUAGUUGGUAAGGUAACGGCUUACCAAGGCGACGAUGCGUAGCCGACCUGAGAGGGUGAUCGGCCACACUGGAACUGAGACACGGUCCAGACUCCUACGGGAGGCAGCAGUAGGGAAUCUUCCGCAAUGGGCGAAAGCCUGACGGAGCAACGCCGCGUGAGUGAUGAAGGUCUUCGGAUCGUAAAACUCUGUUAUUAGGGAAGAACAAAUGUGUAAGUAACUAUGCACGUCUUGACGGUACCUAAUCAGAAAGCCACGGCUAACUACGUG